RNAcentral lists this ribosomal RNA (677 nucleotides) under uncultured Lachnospiraceae bacterium. RNAcentral's name for it is "bacterial SSU rRNA". It matches the Rfam family "Bacterial small subunit ribosomal RNA", at positions 49 to 724 of the family's 1533-position model. The record is from RNAcentral. Lineage: Bacteria; Bacillati; Bacillota; Clostridia; Lachnospirales; Lachnospiraceae.
UAACACAUGCAAGUCGAACGAAGCACCUUAUUCUGAUUUCUUCGGAAUGAAAAAUUUGGUGACUGAGUGGCGGACGGGUGAGUAACGCGUGGGUAACCUGCCUCAUACAGGGGGAUAACAGUUAGAAAUGACUGCUAAUACCGCAUAAGACCACAGCACCGCAUGGUGCAGGGGUAAAAACUCCGGUGGUAUGAGAUGGACCCGCGUCUGGUUAGGUAGUUGGUGGGGUAACGGCCUACCAAGCCGACGAUCAGUAGCCGACCUGAGAGGGUGACCGGCCACAUUGGGACUGAGACACGGCCCAAACUCCUACGGGAGGCAGCAGUGGGGAAUAUUGCACAAUGGGGGAAACCCUGAUGCAGCGACGCCGCGUGAGCGAUGAAGUAUUUCGGUAUGUAAAGCUCUAUCAGCAGGGAAGAAAAUGACGGUACCUGACUAAGAAGCACCGGCUAAAUACGUGCCAGCAGCCGCGGUAAUACGUAUGGUGCAAGCGUUAUCCGGAUUUACUGGGUGUAAAGGGAGCGUAGACGGAGUGGCAAGUCUGAUGUGAAAACCCGGGGCUCAACCCCGGGACUGCAUUGGAAACUGUCAAUCUAGAGUACCGGAGAGGUAAGCGGAAUUCCUAGUGUAGCGGUGAAAUGCGUAGAUAUUAGGAGGAACACCAGUGGCGAAGGCGG